RNAcentral lists this long non-coding RNA (1376 nucleotides) under Monodelphis domestica (gray short-tailed opossum). RNAcentral describes it as "lncRNA (ENSMODG00000033211.2)". The record is from RNAcentral. Lineage: Eukaryota; Metazoa; Chordata; Mammalia; Didelphimorphia; Didelphidae.
CUGAAGUUAAGUGACUUGCUCAGGGUCACUAGCUAUGUAUCUGAGGUCAAAUUUGAACCCAGGACCUCUUCCUUCCAGGCCUAAUCCUCUAUCCACUGAGCCACCUAACUGCCCCUUCCCUAUUAUAGUGUAAGCUUGGUGAGGGCAGGCACCCUUUUUCUUGAGGGCAAAUUAAGUGAUUUGUCCCAGAUUCCACAAUUAACCAGUGUCAAAAGUUGUCUUUAAAACCAAACCAAGUCUUCCUGGCUCUGAGGCCAGCCCUCUAAUCUAGAAAUCUCCGUGUUGUAGUAUCUGUGUACCUAGUCACAUAUGUCUGGUUCGUCCCCCUGAUUAGGAUCAACCCUGUGGCACCCAGUUCCCAGGCUCCCUGGUUCUUCUGGAAAACUGGGGACCAUCCCAUGCCCCACUCUCUUUGUCUCUCAGUUUCAGGGGACGGAGCUAUGAGAUCCUAGGAAAGUGGAGGGGAAGGCACAAGGGAAAGGAAUGAAGACAAGAGUUCCACACUGGGCUAUGCUGGGCUUCCCUGCCAGAAGGAAAGCUGGGAAAGAACCUAAGAGGAAGUGAGAGAGGAAUUAGAGAGCUGGAGACACCUGGUACCCGUUGAAAGUCCAAAGACCAUAAGGUGUGUCUCAUUUGCAUCUUUCAUCGGCAAGCCUCCAGCCUGUCCUCAUACUCAGCUCUUCCUUCAGCUCUGCAUAGCAUCCAAAGACCUGAAGACUCUAAGGCUCCAGGUCCAGCAGCAGUUCCAAGAACAUGUCCGCAUACGACAACAAAGCCUUCAAGGAUAUUGGAAAGGUAAUUAUUCCCCGAAAUCACUGAAUCUCAGAGUAGAACAAGACCACAAAGGUCAUCUCUUCCAAUAUGUAGGUGUCUGUAAAGGUCUUUGUCUUCUCUCAGAGUCUCCAGGAAGUCUCUAGAUUCAAAUUAGUCAACAAGUAUUUAGUAAAUACCAAGCACAGUUCUGGGCUAGGAAUGCAAGAGAAGUCCCUGCCUCGAAGGAGCUUAUAAUUUAACUGGGAAAUGAUUUGAACAAACUGAACAAGGGACCGAAGAACAAUCAAGCUCUAAGAAACUGUGAGUCAGUGCAGUGGGACUCAGGGAGGGAGAGGGAGGGAGGGAGGGAGAGAGAGAGAGAGAGAGAGAGAGAGAGAGAGAGAGAGAGAGAGAGAGAGAGAGAGAGAGAGAGAGAGAGAGAGAGAGAGAGAGAGAGAGAGAGAUCAGUGGGAACUAAAGCAGUAACAGAAGAGAUUUUAUGGAGGAGACAGGAUUUAGACUGUGCCUUAACAAAUGUAUAGGCUUUAAGUCAGUGUAAGAAAGGAGAAGGAGUAGGAGGAACAGUAUGAACAAAGGUGCAGAGGUGGGAAAACAUACUGAAG